Molecule: ribosomal RNA, 460 nt
Filed under: uncultured bacterium
Lineage: Bacteria
Description: partial 16S ribosomal RNA
Rfam family: Bacterial small subunit ribosomal RNA
Source: RNAcentral
CCUACGGGCGGCAGCAGUGAGGAAUAUUGGUCAAUGGACGAGAGUCUGAACCAGCCAAGUAGCGUGAAGGAUGACUGCCCUCUGGGUUGUAAACUUCUUUUAUAUGGGAAUAAAUUGUUCCACGUGUGGGAUUUUGUAUGUACCAUACGAAUAAGGAUCGGCUAACUCCGUGCCAGCAGCCGCGGUAAUACGGAGGAUCCGAGCGUUAUUCGGAUUUAUUGGGUUUAAAGGGAGCGUAGGUGGAUUGUUAAGUCAGUUGUGAAAGUCUGCGGCUCAACCGUAAAAUUGCAGUUGAAACUGGCAGUCUUGAGUACAGUAGAGGUGGGCGGAAUUCGAGGUGUAGCGGUGAAAUGCUUAGAGAUCACGAAGAACUCCGAUUGCGAAGGCAGCCCACUGGACUGCAACUGACACUGAGGCGCGAAAGUGUGGGUAGCAAACAGGAUUAGAUACCCUUGUAGUC